This 28-nucleotide non-coding RNA is filed under the name Mus musculus (house mouse). The record is from RNAcentral. Lineage: Eukaryota; Metazoa; Chordata; Mammalia; Rodentia; Muridae.
UCAAAAAGUCAGGCAAAGGCUAAAGAUG